GCCUUUUUAGCUCAGUGGUAGAGCACUGUAUUUGUAAUGCGGUGGUCGUCGGUUCGAAUCCGACAAAAGGCU
This 72-nucleotide transfer RNA is filed under the name Euglena hiemalis. RNAcentral's name for it is "tRNA-Thr". It matches the Rfam family "tRNA". Rfam says of the family: Transfer RNA (tRNA) molecules are approximately 80 nucleotides in length. Their secondary structure includes four short double-helical elements and three loops (D, anti-codon, and T loops). Further hydrogen bonds mediate the characteristic L-shaped molecular structure. tRNAs have two regions of fundamental functional importance: the anti-codon, which is responsible for specific mRNA codon recognition, and the 3' end, to which the tRNAs corresponding amino acid is attached (by aminoacyl-tRNA synthetases). tRNAs cope with the degeneracy of the genetic code in two manners: having more than one tRNA (with a specific anti-codon) for a particular amino acid; and 'wobble' base-pairing, i.e. permitting non-standard base-pairing at the 3rd anti-codon position. Lineage: Eukaryota; Euglenozoa; Euglenophyceae; Euglenales; Euglenaceae. The record is from RNAcentral.